RNAcentral lists this ribosomal RNA (732 nucleotides) under uncultured bacterium. RNAcentral's name for it is "bacterial SSU rRNA". It matches the Rfam family "Bacterial small subunit ribosomal RNA", at positions 41 to 773 of the family's 1533-position model. The record is from RNAcentral.
GGCGUGCCUAACACAUGCAAGUCGAGCGAAGCGGUUUUAAGGAAGUUUUCGGAUGGAAUUAAGACUGACUGAGCGGCGGACGGGUGAGUAACGCGUGGGUAACCUGCCUCAUACAGGGGGAUAACAGUUAGAAAUGGCUGCUAAUACCGCAUAAGCACACAGCUUCGCAUGGAGCAGUGUGAAAAACUCCGGUGGUAUGAGAUGGACCCGCGUCUGAUUAGCUAGUUGGUAAGGUAACGGCUUACCAAGGCGACGAUCAGUAGCCGACCUGAGAGGGUGACCGGCCACAUUGGGACUGAGACACGGCCCAAACUCCUACGGGAGGCAGCAGUGGGGAAUAUUGCACAAUGGGGGAAACCCUGAUGCAGCGACGCCGCGUGAGUGAAGAAGUAUCUCGGUAUGUAAAGCUCUAUCAGCAGGGAAGAAAAUGACGGUACCUGACUAAGAAGCCCCGGCUAACUACGUGCCAGCAGCCGCGGUAAUACGUAGGGGGCAAGCGUUAUCCGGAUUUACUGGGUGUAAAGGGAGCGUAGACGGCGGAGCAAGUCUGAAGUGAAAGCCCGGGGCUCAACCCCGGGACUGCUUUGGAAACUGUUCUGCUAGAGUGCUGGAGAGGUAAGUGGAAUUCCUAGUGUAGCGGUGAAAUGCGUAGAUAUUAGGAGGAACACCAGUGGCGAAGGCGGCUUACUGGACAGUAACUGACGUUGAGGCUCGAAAGCGUGGGGAGCAAAC